RNAcentral lists this ribosomal RNA (520 nucleotides) under Caleta caleta. RNAcentral describes it as "partial 16S ribosomal RNA". The stretch from base 389 to 520 matches the Rfam family "Bacterial large subunit ribosomal RNA", at positions 2473 to 2605 of the family's 2925-position model. The record is from RNAcentral. Lineage: Eukaryota; Metazoa; Arthropoda; Insecta; Lepidoptera; Lycaenidae.
AAACAUGUNUUUUUGAUUUUAAUUUAAAGUCUAAUCUGCCCACUGAUAAAUAUUAAAGGGCUGCAGUAAUUUGACUGUACAAAGGUAGCAUAAUCAUUAGUCUUUUAAUUGGAGACUUGUAUGAAAGAUUUGAUGAGAUAUAAACUGUCUCUUAUUUAUUUAUAAAAUUUAAUUUUUUAGUUAAAAAGCUAAAAUAUAUUUAAAAGACGAGAAGACCCUAUAGAGUUUUAUAAUUUAUAAAUUUAAUAUUUAUAUAAAAUUUUAAUAUUAAAUAAAAUAAAUUAUUUUGUUGGGGUGAUAAAAAAAUUAAAAAAACUUUUUUUUUUGUUUACAUAAAUAAGUGUUUAAUUGAUCCUUUAUAAAGAUUAUAAGAAAAAAUUACCUUAGGGAUAACAGCGUAAUAUUUUUUUUUAGUACAAAUAAAAAAAAAAGUUUGCGACCUCGAUGUUGGAUUAAGAUAAAAUUUAAAUGCAAAAGUUUAAAAUUUUGAUCUGUUCGAUCAUUAAAAUCUUACAUGAUC